AUUGAACGCUGGCGGUAGGCCUAACACAUGCAAGUCGAACGGCUGCACAGUAAUAGCUUGCUCUUUCGGGUGCCGACUGGCGGGCGGUUGAUGGGUACAUCGCUAUCUGCUGUGUAUUGGGUGAGGAUGUAGGGGAACUUACGCUAUUACCGCAUACGACCUACGGGUGAAAGCAUCGGACCUUCGGAUCUCGCGUGAUUCUAUGACCCGAUGUCGGAUUAGCUAGUUGGCGGGGUAAAGGCCCACCAAGGCGACGAUCCGUAGCUGGUCUGAGAGGAUGAUCAGCCACACUGGAACUGAGACACGGUCCAGACUCCUACGGGAGGCAGCAGUGGGGAAUAUUGGACAAUGGGCGAAAGCCUGAUCCAGCCAUACCGCGUGUGUGAAGAAGGUCUUCGGAUUGUAAAGCACUUUUAUUGGGAAAGAAGAGCAGCAAGUUAAUACCCUGCUGUUCUGACGGUACCAACAGAAUAAGCACCGGCUAACUUCGUG
RNAcentral lists this ribosomal RNA (492 nucleotides) under uncultured bacterium. Its description in RNAcentral is "partial 16S ribosomal RNA". It matches the Rfam family "Bacterial small subunit ribosomal RNA", at positions 30 to 507 of the family's 1533-position model. The record is from RNAcentral.